AUUGAACGCUGGCGGCAGGCCUAACACAUGCAAGUCGAGCGGUUGAAGGGAGCUUGCUCCUGGAUUCAGCGGCGGACGGGUGAGGAAGGCCUAGGAAUCUGCCUGGUAGUGGGGGAUAACGUCCGGAAACGGGCGCUAAUACCGCAUACGCCCUGAGGGAGAAAGUGGGGGAUCUUCGGACCUCACGCUAUCAGAUGAGCCUAGGUCGGAUUAGCUAGUUGGUGGGGUAAAGGCCUACCAAGGCGACGAUCCGUAACUGGUCUGAGAGGAUGAUCAGUCACACUGGAACUGAGACACGGUCCAGACUCCUACGGGAGGCAGCAGUGGGGAAUAUUGGACAAUGGGCGAAAGCCUGAUCCAGCCAUGCCGCGUGUGUGAAGAAGGUCUUCGGAUUGUAAAGCACUUUAAGUUGGGAGGAAGGGCAGUAAGUUAAUACCUUGCUGUUUUGACGUUACCAACAGAAUAAGCACCGGCUAACUUCGUG
RNAcentral lists this ribosomal RNA (484 nucleotides) under uncultured bacterium. RNAcentral describes it as "partial 16S ribosomal RNA". It matches the Rfam family "Bacterial small subunit ribosomal RNA", at positions 30 to 507 of the family's 1533-position model. The record is from RNAcentral.